RNAcentral lists this ribosomal RNA (389 nucleotides) under uncultured bacterium. RNAcentral's name for it is "bacterial SSU rRNA". It matches the Rfam family "Bacterial small subunit ribosomal RNA", at positions 28 to 419 of the family's 1533-position model. The record is from RNAcentral.
GACGAACGCUGGCGGCGUGCUUAACACAUGCAAGUCGAGCGGUAAGGCCCUUUCGGGGGUACACGAGCGGCGAACGGGUGAGUAACACGUGGGUGACCUGCCCUUAGCUCUGGGAUAAGCCUGGGAAACUGGGUCUAAUACCGGAUAUGACUCCAUGACGCAUGUUGUGGGGUGGAAAGCCUUGUGCGGCUAGGGAUGGGCCCGCGGCCUAUCAGCUUGUUGGUGGGGUGAUGGCCACCAAGGCGACGACGGGUAGCCGGCCUGAGAGGGCGACCGGCCACACUGGGACUGAGAUACGGCCCAGACUCCUACGGGAGGCAGCAGUGGGGAAUCUUGCGCAAUGGGCGAAAGCCUGACGCAGCGACGCCGCGUGAGGGAUGACGGCCUGG